RNAcentral lists this long non-coding RNA (2700 nucleotides) under Homo sapiens (human). Its description in RNAcentral is "HSALNT0391902". Lineage: Eukaryota; Metazoa; Chordata; Mammalia; Primates; Hominidae. The record is from RNAcentral.
GGGAGAGCGGGCAGUUCUAGGAGGCCGACCUGGAGAGCCUCCCGGUUCCCCUUCCCCUUUUCCCGGACCCCGCGGGGACACCCCCUCGCCGCCACCCGGGCCUCCCCGAGGGCCCAACUGCGGGUCAGGCGGCCCGGGCCAGCCGAAAGGGAAGUGGGGCUACCCCACAGCCAGGCAGCGGGGCUGGGGUCAGACCCGGGAGCCGGAGGUUGGAGACGUGCGACAGUCACCUGCGGGCAGAUUCCAGAGGGGAGACCCAGGGCUGCAGGGGACGCCCCUUCGUGGCAGCUACCCAGCCUCGGCCCACUGCCAGGUUCUUUGCCAACCCUGACGCGAGUGUGGAGCCCCCCUCCCCUCCCCUAUGAAAACGCUUUCAUGCACUGGGGUCUGCAAACCUGGUUGGUCCGGUGUGGGUUGGGCCAGGUGCUCUCGGCCGGGCUGGAGAGCUCGAGGUGGAACGAUGGCCCCAACCUACGGCCCGCGUCCGCCAGAGGGCGCCCUGGGGUCUCCUAGGGGAGGGCAGUUUGGUGCUGCGCGGCCCAGGCCUUGGAAUAGGCACGCCAGGGAUCUGCGGGAAUGGCUGUCUCCGGAGCUGGAAAGGUGGCCGAGAAGGGGGCAUUCACACCCCAGGCUGGGGUCAGACCUGGGAAUAAAAUUCUAGCAGGAGAGAAUUUCCGGAAAGCAGUUUUCCGGGGUUCAGGCUACUGCCAGAUGGCCCACACCCCCUGGAAUGUGACCCCCUGCCUCUCUUGGGGUGGGGGAGGACUUGAUCACUGGCGGGGAGGGGGUAGAGGGGAGGAGAGGAAGUGAUUGAGGUGAAAGAUUGGUUUGCUGCUGGUCACGUUGGCACUGACGUAGAUAGUUUGGGCUUGGAGACCCGGGGCCAGCCUUAUGAAGGAUGGCAAGUUUUGUCAUCUUGUCCCCAAAUGGGCUGUGUGGUGCUGGGGACACCCGAGAGCUGCCUCAGUGGCAUUUAGAUUUUCACCUCUCGGGAUGCAGACGCUGUGGGCCUGGGGCCCUGCGCUCUUCCUAGAUACCAGGAUAAUGAGGUGCUGAAAGGGAAGGAAGAGACUGCCGCCAGGGACAGGGAGCUUGGGAUGCCAGAACCCAGAACUGGCCCUUUUGCCGGCCCUGGAAUUGAUAGGUGCGCACUGCCUUUGCCACUGUAUCCUCAGUCCGUGCCAUCACCUCUCCCCAGCAUGUGCUGGGGACUCAGUGAGAUUUGGACAAGACACACAGUUUCUCUGGGCUUCCGUUUUGCCACCUGUAAAACUGGAGCCAGAACCUUUUCCUUCCCUUUGGCAGGCGGAGGCGAGAGGAUCACUUGAGCAUGGACAUUCAAGACCAGCCUGGGCAGCAAAGUGAGCACCCCCAUCUCUGCAAAAAAUAGAAAAAAGUUAGCCAGGAGUGGUGGCCUGUGCCUGUAGUCCCAGCUGCUUGGGAGGCCAAGGUGGAAGGAUCGCUUGAGUCAGGGAGGUCAAGGCUGCGGUGAGCCAUGAUCGUGCCACUGCACUUUAGUCUGGGCAACAGAGUGAGACCCUGUUAAAAAAAAUAAUAAUAAAAUGAAAUAAAAAGGGCCGGGCAUGGUGGCUCAUGCCUGUAAUCCCAGCACUUUGGGAGGCUGAGGCGGGUGGAUCACGAGGUCAGGAGAUCGAGACCAUCCUGGCCAACAUGGUGAAACCUCGUCUCUACUAAAAAUACAAAAAUUAGCUGAGUGUGGUGGCACAUGCUUGUAAUCCCAGCUACUUGAGAGGCUGAGGCAGGAGAAUCGCUUGAACCAGGGAGUCAGAGGUUGUGGUGAGCCGAGAUCGCGCCAUUGCACUCCAACCUGGCGACAGAGCUCUGUCUCAAAAAAAAAAAAAAAAAAAAAAAGAAAGAAAGAAAGAAAAGAAAAGGAAGAAAGAAAAAGAACCUUUUGCCAUAAGAGAUUUGAAAUUAAAAAAAAAAAAAGAUUCUGCACAUCAAAGCGUGAUAGAAAUAGAAGUAACCCAGUUAGUUCAACUCUCCCUCCAGCCUAUCAGGAGAGCAGAGGAGGAAACUGGUUUAUUCAACACAUUUCACAAAUAUUGAGCUCCAUGCACCAGGCACUGGGCUGGGCAUUGAUAUAUAAUGAUGAGUAGGACCUGGUCUUUGCCCUCACAAUGCUUGCAGGGUAAUGAAAUGGAUUCUCCUUCUCUCUGUAAUCAGUUCAUUCUUUUUCUCAUCCAUUCAGUGUUACGUGGCUGCAUGACCAUACACUUCUGGGUAGAGCCCAGUGGAAGACAAAGAAGACUCAAGGAAUAGCCCUUGAGGGCUCAGGAGCUAUACAGAUGGGAUAGAGGGUGUGAGUGCUGGGAAGCCCCAUCCAUGGCUCGCUGGAGAUUAGAGGCCUGUUAAUCUGAAGACAAAGGAAUGAAGACGAAAACGUUUCUGAAAAUGUGGGUGGAGACACCUGGGCCUUUACAGGGUACGCUCCAGAGCUGCUUCCAGGCAGGGACCCCGGCUGAGAGAAGCCAGAGCCAGAGAGUCGCAGGCUUGCUUGCUCUUAUCUUCCCUCUGCUGGGGGGGUCGAGGGGAGAUCUGGCCCCUCUGCUCUGCCCUCCUGAUUUCCCGUCUAAGGGAUUUAGGAGACUUUUGCCUUUUCCUAAUCUCUCCCUUUGCAGAAUUUCUGCGAAGUCACAAUCCCAUUUCCAGGCAAAGGUGCUUGGUCAUAAAGAUAAU